RNAcentral lists this ribosomal RNA (626 nucleotides) under Enterococcus faecalis. Its description in RNAcentral is "bacterial SSU rRNA". It matches the Rfam family "Bacterial small subunit ribosomal RNA", at positions 56 to 653 of the family's 1533-position model. Lineage: Bacteria; Bacillati; Bacillota; Bacilli; Lactobacillales; Enterococcaceae. The record is from RNAcentral.
UGCAGUCGAACGCUUGCUUUCCUCCCGAGUGCUUGCACUCAAUUGGAAAGAGGAGUGGCGGACGGGUGAGUAACACGUGGGUAACCUACCCAUCAGAGGGGGAUAACACUUGGAAACAGGUGCUAAUACCGCAUAACAGUUUAUGCCGCAUGGCAUAAGAGUGAAAGGCGCUUUCGGGUGUCGCUGAUGGAUGGACCCGCGGUGCAUUAGCUAGUUGGUGAGGUAACGGCUCACCAAGGCCACGAUGCAUAGCCGACCUGAGAGGGUGAUCGGCCACACUGGGACUGAGACACGGCCCAGACUCCUACGGGAGGCAGCAGUAGGGAAUCUUCGGCAAUGGACGAAAGUCUGACCGAGCAACGCCGCGUGAGUGAAGAAGGUUUUCGGAUCGUAAAACUCUGUUGUUAGAGAAGAACAAGGACGUUAGUAACUGAACGUCCCCUGACGGUAUCUAACCAGAAAGCCACGGCUAACUACGUGCCAGCAGCCGCGGUAAUACGUAGGUGGCAAGCGUUGUCCGGAUUUAUUGGGCGUAAAGCGAGCGCAGGCGGUUUCUUAAGUCUGAUGUGAAAGCCCCCGGCUCAACCGGGGAGGGUCAUUGGAAACUGGGAGACUUGAGUGCAGAA